AGUGAACGCUGGCGGUAGGCCUAACACAUGCAAGUCGAACGGCAGCACAGUAAGAGCUUGCUCUUACGGGUGGCGAGUGGCGGACGGGUGAGGAAUACAUCGGAAUCUACUUUUUCGUGGGGGAUAUCGUAGGUAAACUUACGCUAAUACCGCAUACGACCUACGGUUGAAAGCAGGGGAUCUUCGGACCUUGCGCGAUUGAAUUAGCCGAUGUCGGAUUAGCUAGUUGGCGGGGUAAAGGCCCACCAAGGCGACGAUCCGUAGCUGGUCUGAGAGGAUGAUAAGCCAAACUGGAACUGAGACACGGUCCAGACUACUACGGGAGGAAGCAGUGGGGAAUAUUGGACAAUGGGCGCAAGCCUGAUCCAGCCAUACCGCGUGGGUGAAGAAGGCCUUCGGGUUGUAAAGCCCUUUUGUUGGGAAAGAAAAGCAGCAGGUUAAUACCCCGCUGUUCUGACGGUACCCAAAGAAUAAGCACGGGCUAACUUCGUG
This 492-nucleotide ribosomal RNA is filed under the name uncultured bacterium. RNAcentral describes it as "partial 16S ribosomal RNA". It matches the Rfam family "Bacterial small subunit ribosomal RNA", at positions 29 to 507 of the family's 1533-position model. The record is from RNAcentral.